GUCUAUGGCCAUGCCACCCUGAACAAGCCCGAUGUCUGAUCUUGGAAGCUAAGCAGGGUAGGGCCUGGUUAGUACUUGGAUGGGAGACCACCUAGGAAGACCAGGUGCUGUAGGCA
This 116-nucleotide ribosomal RNA is filed under the name Pteropus alecto (black flying fox). Lineage: Eukaryota; Metazoa; Chordata; Mammalia; Chiroptera; Pteropodidae. The record is from RNAcentral.